AGAGAUGCGCAGUGCUGCCCCUUUCUAUGGGCAGGGCCGAAGGUCCGCGUGUAAAAGUACCCAGUCCCUGGUAACCUGACACUUCCCUUUUAAAAGCCACCUUUUGUCUAUCUCUGGCCUGCCACGAUUCUUCCUGUGCUCCAUAGGAGGACCCAUUGGACCCCCGGGCUGGCUGCAGGGCCCACACCUGGGUUAGACCUCGCACAGGGACGCUGCUGCCACUGUAAUAAAGCGUGCCUACACGCUUCUGAAACUGGUGUAGGAACAACCUCAGUUCUGUGAAAGGCGGACGCAGCAGGACAGAAUCUCCGUGGACAUCUGUCUGGAGGAGCAAUUUUACUGCGACAUUUUAAAGAAACAAAUUUAAUUGAUUUCCAAGGGUGUCCAUCGCGCUUCCUUCACUGCCUUGAUCAUGUCGGGGUCACCACCUGCGGGGGUUUGUCCUGCAGACCCUGACUCAACGACGGAUGAAUAAUGUACACUGACACAGAUCUUAUGCUUGUCAGUCCUGCUGAGCAUCCAGGCCACUUACAGACUCCAAGAAGAGUCCUGUCAGCCACGGCUCUGACUUGUUGGCCCUCCCGGCAUUUAUUUAGCACACAUUUAAUGACAGAAGUCUCAGGUAAACACCACUAGAAGGCUGGAAACACUCUUUUUGUAGAACAUACAAAUGGACAUUUCUAAGCACAUUGAGGCCUAUAAUGAAAAAUCAAAUAUCCCACAAUGAAAACUAGAAGGAAGCUAUCUGUGAUAAUGCUUUGUGGUGUAUGGAUUCAUCUCACUGACUGAAACCUGAGUUUUGAUUCACCAGAAUCUAUGCAGGGACAUUUUUGUGCUCAUUGAGGCCUACUGUGAAAAACCAAACAUCAGGGGUGGAGCCAAAAAAGCCAAAUAGGAACAGCUCCAGUCUACAGCUCCCAGCAUGAGCCACACAGAAGAUGGAUGAUUUCUGCAUUUCCAACUGAGAAUCUAUGAAGGGACAUCAUUUCUGAGCCCAUUGAGACUUGUAGUGAAAAACCAAGCAUCCCCUGAUAAAUAGGUAGUAGAAACAAACUACCUAUGAAAAUGCUUUUUGAUUUGUGGAUUUAUCUCACAGUGUUAAAUUUUUGAUUUGAUUCAACUGGUUGAAAACAUUCUUUAUGUAGAAUCUAUGAAGAGACGUUUUUGAGCUUAUCGAGAUGUAAGGUGAGAAACUGAAUAUCCCGCUAUGCAAAGUACAAACAAGCUCUCUGUGAAAAUGCUUUGUUAUAUGGGGAUUCUUCUCACUGAAUGGAUCUUGUGUUGUGAUUCACUGGGUUGGAAACACUUUUUUUUAGAAUCUAUGAAGGGACAUUUCCGAGGCCAUCGAGGCCUAUAGUGAACAACAGAAUAUUCUGUGAUAAAAACUAGAAACAACCUACCUGUGAAAACGAUUUGUGAUCUUUGGAUUCAUCUCACCACAUGGAACCUGUGUUUUGAUUCAGCUGGUUGGAAAAACUCUUUUUGUGGAAUCUACCAAAGGAUAUUUCUAAGCCCGUUGAGGCCUAUAUUAAAUUGAUUAUCUCAUGGUUGAAAGCAUUCUUUUUGUAGAAUCUAUGAAAAGACAUUUCUGAGCUUAUUCUGGUUUAUAGAGUAAAACCGAAUAUCCUGAAAUAAAAACUGGAAACUAGGUUGGAAACUUUUUUUGUAGAAUCUAUGAAGAAACAUUUCUGAGCUCACUGAGGCAUAUUUGGAAAAAUGGGUAUCUCACAAUACAAACUGGAAACAAGCUAUCUGUGGAAACGUUUUAUGAUGUGUGGAUUCAUGUCACAGAGUUAAUCCUUUGUUUUGAUUCAACAGUUUGAAAACACUUUUUUUGUAGAAUAUACAAAAAGACAUUUCUGAGCCCUUUGAAUCCUAUAGUAAAGAAACAAAUAUCUCACGAUAAAAACUAAAAAGAAAUUUUCUGUGAAAA
Molecule: long non-coding RNA, 1933 nt
Organism: Homo sapiens (human)
Lineage: Eukaryota; Metazoa; Chordata; Mammalia; Primates; Hominidae
Product: long intergenic non-protein coding RNA 662
Source: Ensembl